This 2013-nucleotide long non-coding RNA is filed under the name Homo sapiens (human). RNAcentral describes it as "HIF1A antisense RNA 3". Lineage: Eukaryota; Metazoa; Chordata; Mammalia; Primates; Hominidae. The record is from RNAcentral.
UGGUAUUCUCCCCGCGGGGCUCUGACCGCUGCCGCUCUCAGGCACCUGUCUUUCCUCUCCGUCCCAGAAUGGAGCCAAGACAAGGGAAUAAACGAAAUUCAAUAGUACACGGAGAUCGGGUGUCUGGGCAGCGUCUUGGAAAAACUAUCCACUACAGGUCAAGUGAAGUUCUUCUGCUGAUAUGUUCUGCUACUGCAUAAGAGACGGAAUCUAUGUUGCCUCGACUGGUCCUGAACUCCUGGGCUAAAGCGAUCCUUCUGCCUUGGCCUCCCAAAGUGCGAGGAUUAUAGAUAAGGACCCUGGCUAAAUAGCUUACCCAACAUUACUCCGUUAAUAAAUGGUAGAACCUGUAUUUCACUCAAGCAGUCUGGUGUCCACGCGAUUAACACUAGACUAUGUUGUCUCUCAAAAACUCAUCCUGAUUACCAAGCAAUCAACAACACAGAAGACAACUUCUGCAACCCUAUCGGGAGAGGAGGGGUUCUCUCCACCACCAGUCCCCUGGAAGAAUUCUCAAAACACAGAAUGCUUGCCAAGUCAAUCCUAAGCCAAAAGAACAAAGCUGGAGGCAUCACACUACCUGACUUCAAACUAUACUACAAGGAUGCAGUAACCAAAACAGCAUGGUACUGGUACCAAAACAGAGAUAUAGACCAAUGGAACAGAACAGAGCCCUCAGAAAUAAUGCCGCUUAUCUACAACCAUCUGAUCUUUGACAAACCUGACAAAAACAAGAAAUGGGGAAAGGAUUCCCUAUUUAAUAAAUGGUGCUGGGAAAACUGGCUAGCCAUAUGCAGAAAGCUGAAACUGGAUCCCUUCCUUACACCUUAUGCUAAAAUUAAUUCAAGAUGGAUUAAAGACUUAAAUGUUAGACCUAAAACCAUAAAAACCGUAGAAUAAAACCUAGGCAAUACCAUUCAGGACAUAGGCAUGGGCAAGGACUUCAUGUUUAAAACACCAAAAGCCAUGGCAACAGAAGCCAAAAUUGACAAAUAGGAUCUAAUUAAACUAAAGAGCUUCUGCACAGCAAAAGAAACUACCAUCAGAGUGAACAGGCAACCUACAGAAUGGGAGAAAAUUUUUGCAAUCUACUCAUCUGACAAAGGGCUAGUAUCCAGAAUCUACAAUGAACUCAAACAAAUUUACAAGAAAAAAACAACCCCAUCAAAAAGUGGGCAAACGAUAUGAACAGACACUUCUCAAAAGACGACAUUUAUGCUGCCAAAAGACACAUGAAAAAAUGCUCAUCAUCACUGGCCAUCAGAGAAAUGCAAAUCAAAACCACAAUGAGAUACCAUCUCACACCAGUUAGAAUGGCGAUCAUUAAAAAGUCAGGAAACAACAGGUGCUGGAGAGGAUGUGGAGAAACAGGAACACUUUUACACUGUUAGUGGGACUGUAAACUAGUUCAACCAUUGUGGAAGUCAGUGUGGCGAUUCCUCAGGGAUCUAGAACUAGAAAUACCAUUUGACCCAGCCAUCCCAUUACUGGGUAUAUACCCAAAGGAUUAUAAAUCAUGCUGCUAUAAAGACACAUGCACACGUAUGUUUAUUGUGGCACUAUUCACAAUAGCAAAGACUUGGAACCAACCCAAAUGUCCAAUAAUGAUAGACUGGAUUAAGAAAAUGUGGCACAUAUACACCAUGGAAUACUAUUCAGCCAUAAAAAAGGAUGAGUUCAUGUCCUUUGUAGGGACAUGGAUGAAGCCGGAAACCAUCAUUCUCAGCAAACUAUCGCAAGGACAAAAAACCAAACACCGCGUGUUCUCACUCAUAGGUAGGAACUGAACAAUGAGAACACAUGGACACAGGAAGGGGAACAUCACACGCCGGGGCCUGUUGUGGGGUGGGGGGAGCGGGGAGGGAUAGCAUUAGGAGAUAUACCUAAUGUUAAAUGACGAGUUACUGGGUGCAGCACACCAACAUGGCACAUGUAUACAUAUGUAACUAACCUGCACGUUGUGCACAUGUACCCUAAAACUUAAAGUAUAAUAAAGAAAAAAAAAACACAGAA